AGAGCGAACGCUGGCGGCAGGCCUAACACAUGCAAGUCGAACGGACCCUUCGGGGUUAGUGGCGGACGGGUGAGUAACACGUGGGAACGUGCCUUUAGGUUCGGAAUAGCUCCUGGAAACGGGUGGUAAUGCCGAAUGUGCCCUUCGGGGGAAAGAUUUAUCGCCUUUAGAGCGGCCCGCGUCUGAUUAGCUUGUUGGUGAGGUAAUGGCUCACCAAGGCUACGAUCAGUAGCUGGUCUGAGAGGAUGACCAGCCACAUUGGGACUGAGACACGGCCCAAACUCCUACGGGAGGCAGCAGUGGGGAAUCUUGCGCAAUGGGGACGAAAGCCCGUACGACGACGACG
This 346-nucleotide ribosomal RNA is filed under the name uncultured soil bacterium. Its description in RNAcentral is "bacterial SSU rRNA". It matches the Rfam family "Bacterial small subunit ribosomal RNA", at positions 26 to 396 of the family's 1533-position model. The record is from RNAcentral.